GGGGUUAUAGUUAAAUUUGGUAGACGACUGCGUUGCAUGCAUUUUAAUAUGAGUUCAAGUUCAUUAACUCCAAUAAU
This 77-nucleotide transfer RNA is filed under the name Saccharomyces douglasii. RNAcentral describes it as "transfer RNA-Ala". Lineage: Eukaryota; Fungi; Ascomycota; Saccharomycetes; Saccharomycetales; Saccharomycetaceae. The record is from RNAcentral.